GCCCCUGUGGCCAAGCUGGUUAAGGCAGCGGACUUUUAAUCCGACGAUCGUGGGUUCGAUUCCCACCGGGGGCA
Molecule: transfer RNA, 74 nt
Filed under: Actinomycetota bacterium
Lineage: Bacteria; Bacillati; Actinomycetota
Description: tRNA-Lys
Rfam family: tRNA
About the family: Transfer RNA (tRNA) molecules are approximately 80 nucleotides in length.
Source: RNAcentral